GACGAACGCUGGCGGCGUGCCUAAUACAUGCAAGUCGAACGCUUCUUUUUCCACCGGAGCUUGCUCCACCGGAAAAAGAGGAGUGGCGAACGGGUGAGUAACACGUGGGUAACCUGCCCAUCAGAAGGGGGUAACACUUGGAAACAGGUGCUAAUACCGUAUAACAAUCGAAACCGCAUGGUUUUGAUUUGAAAGGCGCUUUCGGGUGUCGCUGAUGGAUGGACCCGCGGUGCAUUAGCUAGUUGGUGAGGUAACGGCUCACCAAGGCCACGAUGCAUAGCCGACCUGAGAGGGUGAUCGGCCACAUUGGGACUGAGACACGGCCCAAACUCCUACGGGAGGCAGCAGUAGGGAAUCUUCGGCAAUGGACGAAAGUCUGACCGAGCAACGCCGCGUGAGUGAAGAAGGUUUUCGGAUCGUAAAACUCUGUUGUUAGAGAAGAACAAGGAUGAGAGUAACUGUUCAUCCCUUGACGGUAUCUAACCAGAAAGCCACGGCUAACUACGUGCCAGCAGCCGCGGUAAUACGUAGGUGGCAAGCGUUGUCCGGAUUUAUUGGGCGUAAAGCGAGCGCAGGCGGUUUCUUAAGUCUGAUGUGAAAGCCCCCGGCUCAACCGGGGAGGGUCAUUGGAAACUGGGAGACUUGAGUGCAGAAGAGGAGAGUGGAAUUCCAUGUGUAGCGGUGAAAUGCGUAGAUAUAUGGAGGAACACCAGUGGCGAAGGCGGCUCUCUGGUCUGUAACUGACGCUGAGGCUCGAAAG
RNAcentral lists this ribosomal RNA (760 nucleotides) under uncultured Bacilli bacterium. RNAcentral describes it as "bacterial SSU rRNA". It matches the Rfam family "Bacterial small subunit ribosomal RNA", at positions 28 to 759 of the family's 1533-position model. The record is from RNAcentral. Lineage: Bacteria; Bacillati; Bacillota; Bacilli.